Molecule: RNA transcript, 8085 nt
Organism: Phascolarctos cinereus (koala)
Lineage: Eukaryota; Metazoa; Chordata; Mammalia; Diprotodontia; Phascolarctidae
Gene: ZBTB40
Gene name: zinc finger and BTB domain containing 40
Source: RefSeq, a predicted model, not a curated record
UCUAUAACAGGGCACGAAGCCCUCAGGGGGUGGGGCUGGGGACCUUUAAAAGAGCGUCAAAGCCCCGCCAUCCUUCACUCGACCCGGCCCUCCCCCACCGUUCGGCGCCGCUUCCGCUAGCGCCCCUGGCACGUGACGGUGGAAGUCGCAGACUCCGCGCGGCCCCCGCGUCCCCCGCCUUGCCUCGCCUUGCCUCGCCUCGCUUCCCCUCGCCUCCCCUCGCGAGCCUCAAGAUGGCGUCGCUCUGGCGGCUGCGGCGCUGUUGAAUGGAGAAAGCUUUAUUGUUCCCCGCGCCGCCGCCACCAUCCCCAUCACCUCUUGGAGCCCGAGUGUUCGCGUGUCCUCCAAGCCGCUGUCAAUAAAGAACAGACAGUUUGAAUCGGCGGCGCCGAGCAGCUGGUGCUGAUCGUCAAGGAGGCGUUUUGGCAGAAGGGCUAACAGCACUCUUCUUGCCCCUGGCUGGAGCAAUGGAGCUUCCCAACUACAGCUGCCAGUUGCUGCAGCAGCUGUAUAUGCUCUGCAAGGAGAGACAGUUCUGUGACUGCACCAUUUCUAUUGGGACAGUUUAUUUCAGGGCCCAUAAACUGAUCUUGGCCGCUGCCAGCCUCCUCUUUAAAACGUUGCUGGACAAUACAGACACGAUCUCUAUUGAUGCAUCUGUUGUGAGUCCAGAUGAGUUUGCUCUCCUGUUAGAAAUGAUGUACACUGGCAAGCUCCCUGUGGGCAAACACAACUUCUCCAAGAUCAUCUCCUUAGCUGACAGCCUGCAGAUGUUUGACGUGGCAGUUAGCUGUAAGAAUCUGCUCACCAGCCUCGUGAGCUGCUCUGGUCCAAGUCAAGUAAUAAGAGAUGCGUCCCCUCAGACAGUGGAGCCGUGCAAAAAGGAUGCUGAUAGGCUGCUGGUCGAGAAUCCUUCCCCGAAGAACGUGCUUGUGUCUUCCCAUUCAGGAGAGGGUCCAUCCCCUCCUGUGGCUCUGAAGGCUGACACUGUGGUGGUGGUCAGUGCAAUGACCCAAGAAGCUGGGGAGGUGAAUCCUGCUGCUGCCACCCAGGAAGAGGCUCUGGAGAUUGAAAUGAAGCACGCAGCUUCACCGCCAGAGACUGCCAACAUCCCCCAAAUGCAUUCUCUUUCUCCUGGGAAAGAAGUGGUAGGUGAGGAGGUGGAGGAAGAGGAGGUGGUGGAAGCAGCAUGUACGUCUCAGAAAAUGACAGGGAACGUCACCAAACCAGAGCAUGAGAGGAAAUUGUCUAAGCUGGAUUUCCUUCUGCAAAACGAAAGCAUCUUCUCUGAAGCGCUCUCUGUUGCCCAGGAUGUGCUGAAAAGACUAGAUGAGUGUAGAGACAUUAAAAGUCCCCACAAGGAGGCCAUCUUGGAGUGUCUGGAAGCUAAAGAAGGAAUCUCAGCAUUCAAAAGAAUCCUCAAUAAAGUCAGAAACAAUGAGUGCCUCGAUGUUGAGACUGUGGUGUCUUUGUUGGAGCUGUUCCAGGACAGCCACCCUGAAAUAAGAGCAGCACUGCGAAAGCGAGAGCCAGAAGAUGGAGAAAACAUGCAGCUGAAAAGGAGCACCAAGGAGGGAAAGACCUUGUCCAUCCUGUUACUGGAACACAAAGAGGACCUGAUACAGAGUGUAACCCAGCUGAGACCCAUUAGGGAGUUCCUAGAGACAGCCCCGGGGGAGCUCCUGACCUGUGUGGAAAAAGAGGUGAUUUUGAAUUGCUGCGAGGGUGGAACACCCAAGGAGACAAUAGAAAAUUUGCUGCACAGAGUGACUGAAGAGAAAACACUGACUGCUGAGAGUUUGGUUAAACUCCUUCAGGCUGUGAAGAUCACAUUCCCCAACUUGGACCUUCUGCUGAAGGAUUUACAGAAACAAGCAAGUGUGCCAAGCACCGCAGUCCAACCAAGCCCUGAUGAUUUUGGGACUGAGCUCUUGAGACGAUACCAUGAAAACCUCUCUGAAAUUUUCACUGACAAUGAGAUGUUACUAAAGGUGAUCUCAUCUGCAAGCAGUUUAACUUCUGGAGAAAGAGAGGCCAUGGAACAGCUCGUGAAAGGCGACAGUGGGCACGGUGGCUUCGGCGCCCUGGUCUCCGCAGUGCUGGAAGGACAGCCCCUGUUGGGGAGGGCCGUGUGGAAGGUGCUGCUGGGGGCUCAGACAGUUGAGCCGGGCCCGCUGAACCUGCUCAUGGAGAUGAUGCACAAGGAGCCUGGCGCUGACUAUUUCUUCCAAGCAGUGGCCACCCCAGAAAGUGCUACUAUAGAAAUCAUCUUGAGACAUGGCAAGCUAAUCACCGAGGCCAUUCAGCCGAGAGCUGAGCUAAAGUGCCUCACUCCAGGAGAGGAGAGACUGGCGGAGGCCGUGAAGGAGAUUCUGAGUGUUUCCUGUGAGCCAGCCAGCCCUGAAGCUUCCCUGAAAGCAGCUCUUAGCAGAGCCCAGGAAAAGUCACUCCCCACCAUGGAGAUGUGCCGCCUUCUCUGCAGCCUUCAUGAGGUGUUUCCAGGCCUGCAAGCGGUCCUGCAAGAGCUGGGGAGCCUGGGUCUCCUUACGAAGGACAAGGAGCCGGGUGCUCCCGAGCGGUGGAAGGUGCUGGAGGUGCAGGGGGAGGCGUCUGCCAGGAGUCCUGCUGAGCCUGGGGAAGGGAGUGCUAAGGAGAAGGAGGCGGGGCUGGAGGAGCUGGGGAGCAGCGCCGCCCCCUCCCCCAAGAAGAGCUUUGUCUGCGCGGCCUGUGACAAGAGCUUCCAUUUCUACUGCCGCCUCAAAGUGCACGUGAAGCGCUGUCGCGCGGCCCAGGGGAAGCAGGUGCCGUGCAGGGAAUGCGGCGAGACAAAGGCCUCCAAGAAAGAGCUGGAGAAGCACCUGCAGGAGGCCCACGGUGGGGCCGGGGCACCAGGCACCCCGAAGAAGAAGAAGAGGAGGCUCCCCGUGACCUGCGACAUCUGUGGCAGAGAGUUCGCUCACGCCUCUGGAAUGCAGUACCACAAGCUGACAGAACAUUUUGAUGAGAAGCCUUUCUCGUGUGAAGAAUGCGGAGCCAAGUUUGCGGCCAAUUCGACGCUGAAGAACCAUCUCCGCCUUCACACUGGGGAUCGCCCUUUCAUGUGCAAGCACUGCCUUAUGACUUUCACACAGGCGUCCGCCCUGGCUUAUCACACCAAGAAGAAGCACGCUGAAGGGAAGAUGUACGCUUGUCAGUAUUGCAAUGCUGUGUUUGCCCAGUCGAUUGAGCUGUCUCGGCACGUGCGUACUCACACCGGAGAUAAGCCGUAUGUUUGCCGCGAGUGUGGCAAAGGCUUCCGACAGGCCAACGGCCUCUCCAUCCACCUGCGAACCUUUCAUAAUAUAGAUGAUCCCUAUGACUGCAAGAAGUGUCGGAUGAGUUUUCCUACCCUGCAAGAUCAUCGAAAUCACAUUCACGAGGUCCACUCCAAGGAAUACCAUCCCUGCCCAACAUGUGGGAAAAUCUUCAGCGCCCCGUCCCUCCUGGAGCGACACAUGGUGACCCACGUCCGAGGGAAGCCUUUCAGCUGCGGCAUCUGUGACAAGGCCUACCAGCAAUUGUCUGGUUUGUGGUAUCACAACCGGACCCACCACCCCGACGUGUUUGCUGCCCAGAACCACCGGUCCUCCAAGUUCUCUGCACUGCAGUGCAGCUCCUGCGACAAAACUUUCACCAGCACGGCCGCUCACAAGAAGCAUGUCAAGGCAGAGCACGCAGACGUGAAGUUCCACGAGUGUGAGACCUGCCAGGAGCUCUUUCCUACCCUGGCCUUGCUUCAGGUUCAUGCCAAGUGCCGGCAUUCAGGUUCCCAGCCCUUCAGGUGCCUGUACUGUGCAGCCUCUUUCCGCUUCCCUGGAGCCCUGCAGCACCACGUGGCCACCGAGCACUUCCGGCAGACAGAGAAUACGUUCCCCUGCGAGGUGUGUGGAGAGCUCUUCACUUCCCAGGCCCAGCUAGAGGCACACUUUGACUCUGAACACGGGAAGGUAGUGGUCACGGAAGCCCAGGUCGCAGCAGCCACCACCCAGGUGGUACAGGUGAUCCAGGCUCCAGAGGCAGGAGCGUCAGCUGAGCAAGUGAUCACUUUGGAGCAGACCCCUCUGGCUGGAUCCCAGGUGUUUGUGACUUGCCCGACUCCCAGACCCCUCAAGCCAGCUCAGAGCUCGUGGCAGUGACGGUGGAGGACUUACUGGAUGGGACCGUGACCCUCAUCUGCGGAGAGGCCAAGUGAAAGCGCUCCAGCACCUAUGAGAGAUGUCGGGGGGGAGCCAGGGAGAGCCACACAGUGACUUACCCUUCAGAGAGCAUUCUGAGUGUGCUGCCUUGGGCCACAGAGCCCACUCUGUCUGGGAUGGAGACCCUGAGCCUGGCCUCUAAUGCAGUCUCUCUCAUCUGCCUCAGAAGCCCCAGAUUCUACAACCUUCUUAAAGCUUUCAGCUCUGCAUGGACCAGAGGCUGGAAUAUGGAUGUUGUGUUCCCAUGGUGAUUAAAAUCCUCUCUGAGGAAUAAAGUGCUUUUCUUCAUGGAGCACCCCCAGGGCCUUAAGAGAGUCAGACAGCUUCUGGCUUAUCGAGAAAGAAGAGGUUUGCUGCCUGAUGACUGGCUGAGGGAGCGGUGAUGGGUGCCCAAGACAACAGGAGGGUGCAUGGGAUCCCUGCCCUCAAUCAGGUGGAAGCAGAGAAACAGGAGAGAGAAGGGGGCCUGAGAUGAGCUGCCUCUUCUCUUGCUCCUCAGUAAGCCGGCGGCAGGAUCUUGUUGGAAGGUCAGACUGCAUUCAUCCAUUUGGAGGGCCGUGUGUGGUGCCUUCUUGGGUGAAAGGAGACGCCAGCCGGCUCCUCCGGUAGAACCAGGUGGUUGUGGGAGAGGCCACCUCUUCUAAUAGUGAGAGUGUGGGGGAAAGGCUCCCUUUCCCCCACUCAGCAGCACCUGCUCCAGAGAUCUGCUUAGCACUGUUGGUGUCCCUAGAAUCCUCAGAAAAAAAGGGAGGGUUUGGCAUAGAGGGAGGCAUUAGCAGGAUUUGGGAUUUAGGGAAUUGUCACAGAGCGAGGUGGUUAAUUAUCUGUCAUAUUGUGAUAGAAUGUCCCAGAGCUGGUCAGACUUGGGCCAGGCUCAGAAAUAAAGGAAGAGAUCUGAUUCCUGACACUUCCUCUGUGUGUGCGCUAAGGCACACACAUGCGCGCGCGCACACACACACACACGCACGGAAGAAAGAGACCAUCCAUGCUAGAGAUGACGGCGAAAGCUGAGGUGCUCCCAAAGCUAAAUCGGAUUUCUUCUCAAUUGUCCAGAUAUAAAAUCAUUAGGUAGAGUGCCAAGGGUAAUUGGGCUGGUUGCCUGCCGGUUGUACCUGGAACAGCCAUAAAGUUGACAAAUCCGUAUGGACUUGAUUACAGCUUCUUCCUUUUGUUAGAUAGACCUGCAUUGGUGCAGACUAAAGAACCAAAAUAGGGCCAUUGGAAAGUUAUGCCUCAUUAGAGUGUUGCAUGGACUGUGAUGCUUUCAGGUCCAUUCUGUCCCUGGGGCUCCAGUCUGCCUUAUCCUUUCUCCUCAUGAAAGGAUUCCCAUUUGACAAGCCUGCUUGCUUGGGUCUGGUCCAACAUAAGGUUGUGGUCAACAGAAAGGGAAAAACAGCCAGGGGUUGAAGUAGAACUGGGUCUAGAACCCAGAUUCCAGAACCAUGACCAAGUGAGCAAAGGAACCAGUGCCAGGGUGGCCGAAGAGCUGUGUGGCUGCAUCUGUCCCAUUACAAAGCCUCAUUACCCCUCCAGAACUUGUCCCCACCCGGGUAGCCCUGGUUGCUAUAUACCUGCCCCAAGGAUGGCAAAGACAAGUUGAAUACCUGGCUGCUGUUGGUUGAUUUUUUUCAUGAAACUGAUGGAUUCCCAAACCCCACUGUUGUUUGGACAGUACCUCCGUGUCCCACGUAGUCCAUCCUUGCCUCUGCAUAAGAUGGAACUAAAGUCUUCAUUCCUGGAUUUCCUGAGUCACAUUUACCACACAAUCUAGCGACCCUUACUUAUAUGCAGCUUUUAUAUUGGUGGUUGCUUGUUUCAUGUGUAAAUUUGACCAUAAGCUCAGGGCAGCUAGAUGGCGCAGUGGAUAGAGCACCGGCCCUAGAGUCAGGGGGACCCGUUUUCCAAUCCGGCCUCCGACAUGUAACACUCACUAGCUGUGUGACCCUGGGCAAGCCACUUAACCCCAGUUGCCUUACCAAAAAAAAAAAUUGACCAUAAGUUCUUUGAGGGCAGAGAGGGUGUGUCAUAAACAGAACCUACCUUACCCUGCAGAUGGGUUUUACGAGAAUAUGUUGCAGGACAGUGUGGAGGACGGUGGGUAGUUCAACACAAAGCAAGCUGAGUAGAAGUGUGCCUGGGGGAUGGGGGAAGGAGCAGAAGCUGAGUUGAGCUGAUCUCCCAGCAUUCCGGGGGUGGUGGUGCGCAGUGGUUAUGGGGGAAGGCACCUACGCCUGUUUGCUUCCUCCUUCUUAGCCUCAGCAGCAUGCUGAGCACUGAGGAUGCCCUCACUACAUGCUUGUUAGGUGAUGGAGUGAUGCCGACGUUGAUGUCUCUGCUCCAUCCCUUCCUGUUCUGCCAGUGUAGCUGAGAAGAGAAGCUUUCACACAGUAGGCUCUUUAAAAAUGUUAAUUGAAUUGAACAUUGCCGCUUCUUGGUUGUAUCACCCCAUGGCCACCAGUGCUGGCUCCAUCAGAACCUUGGCUCAUCCUUUCUGUCCCCCGUAAAGAGAUAAGCAGGAAGCUCAGAGCAAUGCACGUGGACCAGGGAGCUCCCCCUACUAUCCCCAUCAAAUGCUGUUUGCUUGGCCUCGUAACAAGCCCUUCUUGCUGGCUCUUUUCACACCAGGUACUCCCUGGUGAUGCCUGAGAACAUCAGAUUGAACAUAUCAGGACAAGGUCACUGCAGAAACCCACUGUGCCCCUCCAGGGAGGAUUACACAGGUCUGUCGUUAGGGGGUCCUGAGAAAACUGGAUUGGAAGUGGCAAAGCCGAGCAGGAGGGCUCUGGUGCAGAGGAGAAGAGAGACCUCCCCACUCUUGCACCCCAUGCAGGGUCCAGCCAGAAUCAAACAUUCCCAUUAGAAAGAGCUGGCUUCAGAGCUGCCUUUCUUGACGUAAAGAAAUAAGUUGAAUAAAAGCCACUAAAGUAUGAAGGGGAGUAUGAGAUUUGGGCUAUGUGACCCAUUGACAGGUGCUCAUUUAACUGAACAAACAGUCAUUAGGUUCCUACUUCAGCCAAGGCACUGUUCUAGGAAGUCAGUGAAAAUACCGAAGCAAGACAAAAAAGAAGCCGGCCACACAGCCUCUGCCUUCAAAGAGCUUCCAGUCAGUCUACUGGGAGGAGGUGACACAUAGAGCGAUAAGUGGGAUGGCAAGGUGGAAGAUGAUGGGGCAAAGAAGAGGCCUGGACAGCGUAGCACUUUAGAAACAUCUGAGUUAGUAGCAGGCAAGGAUGAUGGAGGGAGGUGCACCGAAGUUAAGCCGUGAAAGAAGAGAAGCAUUUCAGCAAGUGCAGGUGAGCAGGUGUGCAAGACAACCUGUGCAGAGUCACCAAGGGCUGUUCUGUACCAGAGAUCACCAGGGCUAAGCGCGGUGCUGAGGGUGACAGGAGAAUAAAGAGAGGUGGCUCUUCCCUUGAAGGCAUUUAUCAUCUGUUUGGAAAGAUAAGACAAGAUGGAACAGUGCUGAAAAGUACACUUGACUGCAUGACCUUGGAUAAGUCCCUUCUCCCUGGAUCCCAAUUUCUUCAGUAAGAUCAGAUUGGAUUAGAUAUUCCCUAGGGUCCCUUCUGGCUCCAGCAUUCUGAGAGUCUUAUGAAACUGCUCUCAUUAGGGCAUCCCGAGAAAAAUGGAUUGGAAAUGGCAAAGCUGAGCAGUGGGGCUCUAGAGCAUUGAGGCGAGGAGACGUAACCCCCAGGGAUGUACAGGACGGUCAGUGAGCCUUGAAUGGCAUGGCACAGACAUUAAGGAAGACAGAAAAGUGUGGCCUGUACUGUAUUCAUUGAAUCAUAGAUCUAAAGCUGGAAGGGACCUUAGAAAUUGGCUAGCCCCGUGGUGCCAAACUCAAAUAGAA